GGAAGGGUCGCAUAGUGGCCUAGUGCGCACGCUUGGAAAGCGUGUAUACCGCAAGGUAUCGAGGGUUCGAAUCCCUCCCCUUCCG
This 85-nucleotide transfer RNA is filed under the name Patescibacteria group bacterium. Its description in RNAcentral is "tRNA-Ser". It matches the Rfam family "tRNA". Rfam says of the family: Transfer RNA (tRNA) molecules are approximately 80 nucleotides in length. Their secondary structure includes four short double-helical elements and three loops (D, anti-codon, and T loops). The record is from RNAcentral.